Molecule: long non-coding RNA, 176 nt
Organism: Perognathus longimembris pacificus (Pacific pocket mouse)
Lineage: Eukaryota; Metazoa; Chordata; Mammalia; Rodentia; Heteromyidae
Exons: 3
Source: RefSeq, a predicted model, not a curated record
GCAUUGUUAUGUAAAAGAGAUAAAGGCAGGGCGAAUGCUUAGAAGGCCAUGGUAAGGGGAGGGUGGACAGCCCUGCAUCUGAGAGGGUGAGAAACGCACUCCCACCUUGGUUGCUGGUGAUCUUGACUUUUUUUGUUUUUUUUUCUGCCAGUCCUGGGGCUUGAACUCAGGGCCUG